AAAGGUUUGGUCCUGGCCUUUUUAUUAUUUCGUAGCAAACUUACACAUGCAAGACUCCCCGCACCAGUGAGAAUGCCCUUAACAUCAAUAUAGAUCAAGAGGAGCAGGCAUUAAGCACACUAAUCAGUAGCUCAAGAUACCUUGCUUAACCACGCCCCCAAGGGAUACAGCAGUGAUAAAAAUUUAGCGAUGAACGAAAGUUUGACUAAGUUAUGCUACUCUAGGGCUGGUAAAUUUCGUGCCAGCCACCGCGGUCAUACGAUUAGCCCGAAUUAAUAAAUACCCGGCGUAAAGCGUGAUUAGAAAAUNAAUCAAAUAGAAUCAAAUAACAACUAAGCUGUAAAAAGUAAUAGUUGAAAACAAAAAUAACCAACGAAAGUGAUUUUAUAACCUUCGAAUUCACGAUAGCUAAGGCCCAAACUGGGAUUAGAUACCCCACUAUGCUUAGCCCUAAACUUAAAUAAUUUCAUAACAAAAUUAUUCGCCAGAGAACUACGAGCCAGAGCUUAAAACUCAAAGGACUUGGCGGUGCUUUAUACCCACCUAGAGGAGCCUGUUCUAUAAUCGAUAAACCCCGAUAAACCUUACCACUCUUUGCCAACUCAGCCUAUAUACCGCCAUCUUCAGCGAACCCUAAAAAGGAACAAAAGUAAGCUCAACUAUUCCCAUAAAAACGUUAGGUCAAGGUGUAGCCUAUAGAGUGGAAAGUAAUGGGCUACAUUUUCUAUCUUAGAACACACGGAAGCCCUUAUGAAAUUCUAAGGGCCAAAGGAGGAUUUAGUAGUAAAUUAAGAAUAGAGUGCUUAAUUGAACUAGGCAAUGAAGCACGCAAUUAGAU
Molecule: non-coding RNA, 838 nt
Filed under: Pentalagus furnessi
Lineage: Eukaryota; Metazoa; Chordata; Mammalia; Lagomorpha; Leporidae
Description: partial 12S ribosomal RNA
Rfam family: Bacterial small subunit ribosomal RNA
Source: RNAcentral